Molecule: ribosomal RNA, 468 nt
Filed under: unidentified cyanobacterium IL-2.1
Lineage: Bacteria; Bacillati; Cyanobacteriota
Description: bacterial SSU rRNA
Rfam family: Bacterial small subunit ribosomal RNA
Source: RNAcentral
AGUGGGGAAUUUUCCGCAAUGGGCGAAAGCCUGACGGAGCAAUACCGCGUGAGGGAGGAAGGCCUUUGGGUUGUAAACCUCUUUUGAUUGGGAAGAAGAUCUGACGGUACCAAUCGAAUCAGCCUCGGCUAACUCCGUGCCAGCAGCCGCGGUAAGACGGAGGAGGCAAGCGUUAUCCGGAAUUAUUGGGCGUAAAGCGUCCGCAGGUGGCUUUUCAAGUCUGCUGUUAAAGACGGAAGCUUAACUUCCGCAAGGCGGUGGAAACUGAAAGGCUAGAGUCCGGUAGGGGUAGAGGGAAUUCCCAGUGUAGCGGUGAAAUGCGUAGAGAUUGGGAAGAACAUCGGUGGCGAAAGCGCUCUGCUGGGCCGGAACUGACACUGAGGGACGAAAGCUAGGGGAGCGAAAGGGAUUAGAUACCCCUGUAGUCCUAGCUGUAAACGAUGGAGACUAGGCGUGGCUUGUAUCGAC